Molecule: long non-coding RNA, 1341 nt
Filed under: Chrysolophus pictus (golden pheasant)
Lineage: Eukaryota; Metazoa; Chordata; Aves; Galliformes; Phasianidae
Description: lncRNA (ENSCPIG00010014317.1)
Source: RNAcentral
CCUGGCACAAUUCUAUUAGGACCUAAUUCUGACAACAAUACACGUCAUUAUAGUGGGAUCUGAUAAUGAGCAAACACUGGAGGCAUUACACGUCUUUAGAAGAAGCAGACUUCCUACCUUAUUAAGACUGAUAGAAGGGUAUGUACUAAUCUCUGGAGUGACUGGAUAUUUCUUGUGUGCCACCUGGCUAAGGGCUGGAGGUAACAGGAAGGAAGGAAGCAAUGAAUUAAUAUCGUGAUGACUUUCAAAUUAAAAGAGCAACAUUUUAUACAUGAUUUGGAUAUUAACAAAAAUUUCUACUCAGGAUGAGCGUAGAUGCACUGGCACGGAUGGAGCUCGUGGAGUCACUGUCCCUGAAGGCAAUCAAGAACUGUGGAGAUGUGGCACAGAGGAGCAUGGUGGGGACGGGUUGGACAUGAUGAACUUAAUGAUCUUUUCCAACUUUGAUGAUUCAGUAAUAUAGACUUUUGUGAUCCUCCACAUGUAGUCAUACUACUUGGAAAUUAUCACAAAAGUUGGGAAAGCAAAGUAGAACAGCUGGUCACACAUUCCUUCAGUCAGCAUUCAAAAAUAUGAAGGAAUAAUGAUACCUACUCAUUGAGAAAUAGUAUCUGGUGAGAUUUGGUGGAGCAAAUUAUCCUGUAUUGGCAGUUAAAACAGUAUAGCUGAAAUCUGGCUUGUAGGAAUCUUGUCUUCUGCAAAAUACUGCUUGUUCAGAGAUCAAUAACCUGAAACUGUAAAGACAACAAAGGCUAAACUCUGUCUCCAGCUCAUUUGCAGAUUGAGCUCAGUCCAACAAACAUUUGUUGUGUUUCCAUUGCUGUGUUCCUCAGGUAAAGCCUAUGGAGUUUUCUCUGCAGGAGAAACAUUUACUUAUAAUGCAGAUUCCAAAAUGAUGCCUCUGCCUGAACAGAAUAUAUGUUUUUUAGUGCCAAUCAGCGUCUUUGUUGUUGCUGAAGAAUUGAGCAGAUUCAGUGGUGCGUCACCUAAGAACAGGCUGUCCAUUGCUUCACUGUGCAGUCUUUCCAUUUCUACCCUUUAUUCUGAAACAUGCCUGAUGAGGAAAGAUUAUGAUACGGGUACAGUGAUUAUUUUGGCAUUUGGCACAGAACCUAUUAGGCCCUCCAUCCAAGACAACUAAUAAAAAGAAAAGGAGUAUUGAAAGGUACAAGAUAACGUAGCACAAAGAGACAAGACUACAGUUUACCAAGAAAAUGUUUCUGAAGCAAAAGAAUGAGAAAAGUGCAUUACCUUUUAGCUUGACUGCGAUCAUAGAACAAGUCAGGCAAUGUCAGAGUGAAGGAUGUAGGAAAGAAUAAAGAAAAUGGACAAAGAAAUGCA